CCUACGUGGGGCAGCAGUGAGGAAUAUUGGUCAAUGGGCGCGAGCCUGAACCAGCCAAGUAGCGUGAAGGAUGACUGCCCUACGGGUUGUAAACUUCUUUUAUAAAGGAAUAAAGUGAGGCACGUGUGCCUUUUUGUAUGUACUUUAUGAAUAAGGAUCGGCUAACUCCGUGCCAGCAGCCGCGGUAAUAGGGAGGAUCCGAGCGUUCUCCGGAUUUAUUGGGUUUAAAGGGAGCGUAGAUGGGUGGAUAAGUCAGUUGUGAAAGUUUGAGGCUCAACCGUAAAAUUGCAAGUGAUACCGGCAGUGUAGAGUACAGUAGAGGUAGGCGGAAUUCGUGGUGUAGCGGUGAAAUGCGUAGAUAGCACGAAGAACACCGAUUGCGAAGGCAGCUUACUAAGCUGCCACUGACGGUGAUGCGCGAAAGCGUGGGUAGCAAACAGGAUUAGAUACCCCUGUAGGC
Molecule: ribosomal RNA, 460 nt
Filed under: uncultured bacterium
Lineage: Bacteria
Description: partial 16S ribosomal RNA
Rfam family: Bacterial small subunit ribosomal RNA
Source: RNAcentral